GGUCGCUGCCGGCACCGUGCGGCUCGCGCCGCGCGGCUCCGGUGGAGGAAAGUCCGGGCUCCACGGGAGAACGGUGCCGGCUAACGGCCGGCGGGGGCGACCCCAGGGACAGUGCCACAGAAAACACACCGCCCGCACGGCGCCGGUUCUCCGGAUCUGCGGGCAAGGGCGAAACGGUGCGGCAAGAGCGCACCGCGCUUCCGGCAACGGCGGCGGCAGGGCAAACCCCACCGGGAGCAAGACCGAAUAGGGAUGGCAGGCGCCGGGGAUCCGCCAGGGUUCGCGGCGCGGGGGGCCUUCCCGCCCCGCCAUCCGGGUUGGUCGCGUCAGGCGCGCAGCGAUGCGCGUCGCAGAGGAAUGACCGUCACGGGCCGCGCGAGCGGCCUUGGACAGAACCCGGCUUACAGGCCGUCUGGCGCC
RNAcentral lists this RNase P RNA (420 nucleotides) under Gluconacetobacter diazotrophicus. RNAcentral describes it as "partial RNase P RNA component class A". It matches the Rfam family "Bacterial RNase P class A". Rfam says of the family: Ribonuclease P (RNase P) is a ubiquitous endoribonuclease, found in archaea, bacteria and eukarya as well as chloroplasts and mitochondria. Its best characterised activity is the generation of mature 5'-ends of tRNAs by cleaving the 5'-leader elements of precursor-tRNAs. Lineage: Bacteria; Pseudomonadati; Pseudomonadota; Alphaproteobacteria; Acetobacterales; Acetobacteraceae. The record is from RNAcentral.